Molecule: ribosomal RNA, 301 nt
Filed under: uncultured bacterium
Lineage: Bacteria
Description: partial 16S ribosomal RNA
Rfam family: Bacterial small subunit ribosomal RNA
Source: RNAcentral
CAGUAGCCGCGGUAGUACGAAGGGGGCUAGCGUUGCUCGGAAUCACUGGGCGUAAAGGGUGCGUAGGCGGGUCUUUAAGUCAGGGGUGAAAUCCUGGAGCUCAACUCCAGAACUGCCUUUGAUACUGAAGAUCUUGAGUUCGGGAGAGGUGAGUGGAACUGCGAGUGUAGAGGUGAAAUUCGUAGAUAUUCGCAAGAACACCAGUGGCGAAGGCGGCUCACUGGCCCGAUACUGACGCUGAGGCACGAAAGCGUGGGGAGCAAACAGGAUUAGAUACCCGCGUAGUCCCUGUCUCUUAUAC